Molecule: long non-coding RNA, 484 nt
Organism: Struthio camelus australis
Lineage: Eukaryota; Metazoa; Chordata; Aves; Struthioniformes; Struthionidae
Source: RefSeq, a predicted model, not a curated record
UCGCUUAUCUCCUUUCCCGGCGGGGCGGAGCGGCUCGCACGUCUAUUUUCUACGGUAACUCUGCCUUCCAGGAGGAGAGCUUCCCCGACUCAUAUAUGCGUAAACAAGAAGACUCUGCAGACAAGCCAUCAGAAAGACUCGGGUCUGCUCUCCUUUGGCGACGUUGUACUGGGGUGGUCGGGAUCUAGCAGCGACCACGAAAGAAAACAGUACAAACUUCGCAGUUCCCGAUCGCCAGGCUAACCCCGGGACUUCGGCGAGAGCUUAGGCUCACGCCUAGGCUCACGCCUCGGAGAGAUGGAUAACGACGAUAAUUACCUUUUCUCUCCGUCGCCGGAAGCAGAGCUGCAUCAACGGCAGGAAAACCAGCGCAUUCGGGAAGUUAUCAAUAGGCCAAAGCCAAAAAAGAAAAAUGACCGGGGAGGGGACGGACGAUUUUGACAGGAACCCAGGUAACGGGAGCCAGGCCGGGCAGAGGAGGGAA